CACCGCCCGUCACAUCACGAAAGUGGGUUGUACUAGAAGUCGUCGCGCUAACCCGCAAGGGAGGCAGGCGCCCACGGUAUGAUCCAUGACUGGGGUG
Molecule: ribosomal RNA, 97 nt
Filed under: uncultured bacterium
Lineage: Bacteria
Description: partial 16S ribosomal RNA
Rfam family: Bacterial small subunit ribosomal RNA
Source: RNAcentral